Molecule: transfer RNA, 61 nt
Filed under: Salina celebensis
Lineage: Eukaryota; Metazoa; Arthropoda; Collembola; Entomobryomorpha; Paronellidae
Description: tRNA-Gly
Rfam family: tRNA
About the family: Transfer RNA (tRNA) molecules are approximately 80 nucleotides in length. Their secondary structure includes four short double-helical elements and three loops (D, anti-codon, and T loops).
Source: RNAcentral
AAUUUUUUAGUAUAAAGUAUAUUUGACUUCCAAUCAAAAGGACCGCCGAGCGGAAAAAUUA